CCUACGGGAGGCAGCAGUGAGGAAUAUUGGUCAAUGGACGAGAGUCUGAACCAGCCAAGUAGCGUGAAGGAUGACUGCCCUAUGGGUUGUAAACUUCUUUUAUAUGGGAAUAAAACGAGUCACGUGUGGGAUUUUGUAGGUACCAUAUGAAUAAGGACCGGCUAACUCCGUGCCAGCAGCCGCGGUAAUACGGAGGAUCCGAGCGUUAUCCGGAUUUAUGGGGUUUAAAGGGAGCGUAGAGGGAUUGUUAAGUCAGUUGUGAAAGUUUGCGGCUCAACCGUGACACUGCAGUUCAAACUGGCAGUCUUGAGUACACUAGAGGUGGGCGGAAUUCGUGGUGUAGCGGUGAAAUGCUUAGAUAUCACGAAGAACUCCGAUUGCGAAGGCAGUUCACUGGACUGCAACUGACACUGAGGCUCGAAAGUGUGGGUAUCGAACAGGAUUAGAUACCCGGGUAGUC
RNAcentral lists this ribosomal RNA (460 nucleotides) under uncultured bacterium. RNAcentral's name for it is "partial 16S ribosomal RNA". It matches the Rfam family "Bacterial small subunit ribosomal RNA", at positions 338 to 795 of the family's 1533-position model. The record is from RNAcentral.